UGCCAGCAGCCGCGGUAAUACGUAGGGUGCGAGCGUUAAUCGGAAUUACUGGGCGUAAAGCGUGCGCAGGCGGUUAUACAAGACAGGCGUGAAAUCCCCGGGCUUAACCUGGGAAUGGCGCCUGUGACUGUAUAGCUAGAGUGUGUCAGAGGGGGGUAGAAUUCCACGUGUAGCAGUGAAAUGCGUAGAUAUGUGGAGGAAUACCAAUGGCGAAGGCAGCCCCCUGGGAUAACGCUGACGCUCAUGCACGAAAGCGUGGGGAGCAAACAGGAUUAGAUACCCUGGUAGUCCACGCCCUAAACGAUGCUGACUAGUUGUUCGGGAUUUACAUCCUGAGUAACGUAGCUAACGCGUGAAGUCAGCCGCCUGGGGAGUACGGUCGCAAGAUUAAAACUCAAAGGAAUUGACGGGGACCCGCACAAGCGGUGGAUGAUGUGGAUUAAUUCGAUGCAACGCGCAGAACCUUACC
Molecule: ribosomal RNA, 469 nt
Filed under: uncultured Pseudomonadota bacterium
Lineage: Bacteria; Pseudomonadati; Pseudomonadota
Description: bacterial SSU rRNA
Rfam family: Bacterial small subunit ribosomal RNA
Source: RNAcentral